Molecule: long non-coding RNA, 1171 nt
Filed under: Rhinopithecus bieti (black snub-nosed monkey)
Lineage: Eukaryota; Metazoa; Chordata; Mammalia; Primates; Cercopithecidae
Description: lncRNA (ENSRBIG00000046163.1)
Source: RNAcentral
CCAGCCCUGGUGGUUUUGGUCAGCAUCUUUACAGUAAGCCGUGGGGAAGUGUGGAGUUGCUCGAGUGUGGCAGUGCUUUUGGCCUUGAGCCCCACACGCAGGUCACUUUCAUCAGAACAGGAAAACGAAACAGGCUCCCCUGAAUGAUUUAUGGGAGGGCUUGUGUUUUGGGGAUGUGAUACUGCAAUUUGUGUUAUAGGACCAAGACAUCUGUUUCCAGGGAGGUGCGUUCUCUUACCAUGAGCCUUUCCCACGAGGGAUCUUUCGCCCCGGCCCGACUCCCAGUUCCAGCCUGAACACUGGUCAACUGAAGACAACGCUGCCGCCUUCAUCUCUUCCCUGCCUGUCCUGCUUACAACAACAGCUGUAAGAAGUUUAUACCCACAUUAAGCCCCCAGAGGCAGGCUGGCAGCCAGCCUUUGCCACUGGUGUAGAGAACUGAGUCAACCACCCGGGGUUCCUGGCUGCUCCCCCUGAGACCCUUUCCCAGCCUGUUCCCUGAGACAAGAGUCUUGGCUGGGCACCUGCUGCACUGUGGACGUGCGGAUGCGGCCUCCAGAAGCAGGAGGGGAGCCAUGGCUGGCUUUUCUGAGAUGUGUUGAGUGGCUUGUCAUUGAAGACUGUUUCCCCACUCAGGCAGCUGCAUGCCCCAAAACAUGGAGAAUCCAUAAAGAUUCCUGAGCAUGUGCUUGAGUCAUUCUUCUUGAAAUUCUCCAGUGAGUGGGAACUCCCUAUUUCAUCCAAGAACUCAUGAGGAUGAGCUUCUUGGAAGCAGUAGGAAUUGAUCUGGGGCUUCAAGGAUCAGAAUGUAGAAGGCAUUCUGGAUGGAGGGAAGAACGAGUCUGGUGUUGAUGGGCCCUGGGGAAGGAUUCUGAGCAUGAGAGAGCAUAUCCAUGCUGUGCGUUGGGAAGACAGCUCUGGCUGUGCUAUUUAGGAUAGGCUGGAGGAGGGUUGCUUGAAGCGGCGUGGCAAGGUAGGAGGCCCUCACAAUUGUCCCAAGAAGAGAUUCUGAAAGCCUGACUUAGUUGGUAGUAAAAGGAAUGGAAAGGCACACUGCAAAGACUCAUUCCUCUCCCAUCCCUGAGGUCCUCUUUGCUUGGAUUUGAACAAAACAAAACAAGACAAAACAACCAACAAACUUUUGACUCACUUGCCAGUCUCGAGGGAAGAG